RNAcentral lists this transfer RNA (65 nucleotides) under Asteronotus hepaticus. Its description in RNAcentral is "tRNA-Arg". The record is from RNAcentral. Lineage: Eukaryota; Metazoa; Mollusca; Gastropoda; Nudibranchia; Asteronotidae.
UACCUGAAAGCGAAAAAUUGCACUAAGUUUCGGCCUUAGCUCUGAGGAACCUUCCUCUUAGGUAA